RNAcentral lists this ribosomal RNA (301 nucleotides) under uncultured bacterium. RNAcentral describes it as "partial 16S ribosomal RNA". It matches the Rfam family "Bacterial small subunit ribosomal RNA", at positions 509 to 807 of the family's 1533-position model. The record is from RNAcentral.
CAGUAGCCGCGGUAAUACGAAGGGUGCAAGCGUUAAUCGGAAUUACUGGGCGUAAAGCGUGCGUGGGCGGUUUGUUAAGUCUGCUGUGAAAUCCCCGGGCUCAACCUGGGAAUGGCAGUGGAUACUGGCAAGCUAGAGUGUGUCAGAGGAUGGUGGAAUUCCCGGUGUAGCGGUGAAAUGCGUAGAGAUCGGGAGGAACAUCAGUGGCGAAGGCGGCCAUCUGGGACAACACUGACGCUGAGGCACGAAAGCGUGGGGAGCAAACAGGAUUAGAUACCCCCGUAGUCCCUGUCUCUUAUAC